This 500-nucleotide ribosomal RNA is filed under the name uncultured bacterium. Its description in RNAcentral is "partial 16S ribosomal RNA". It matches the Rfam family "Bacterial small subunit ribosomal RNA", at positions 30 to 523 of the family's 1533-position model. The record is from RNAcentral.
AUUGAACGCUGGCGGCAGGCCUAACACAUGCAAGUCGAGCGGAUGACGGGAGCUUGCUCCUUGAUUCAGCGGCGGACGGGUGAGUAAUGCCUAGGAAUCUGCCUGGUAGUGGGGGACAACGUUACGAAAGGAACGCUAAUACCGCAUACGUCCUACGGGAGAAAGCAGGGGACCUUCGGGCCUUGCGCUAUCAGAUGAGCCUAGGUCGGAUUAGCUAGUUGGUGGGGUAAUGGCUCACCAAGGCGACGACCCGUAACUGGUCUGAGAGGAUGAUCAGUCACACUGGAACUGAGACACGGUCCAGACUCCUACGGGAGGCAGCAGUGGGGAAUAUUGGACAAUGGGCGAAAGCCUGAUCCAGCCAUGCCGCGUGUGUGAAGAAGGUCUUCGGAUUGUAAAGCACUUUAAGUUGGGAGGAAGGGCAGUAAGUUAAUACCUUGCUGUUUUGACGUUACCGACAGAAUAAGCACCGGCUAACUCUGUGCCAGCCGCCGCCGUAA